Brassica napus (rape) is the source of this 1937-nucleotide long non-coding RNA. RefSeq lists it as uncharacterized. The transcript is spliced from 2 exons. NCBI's taxonomy places the organism in Eukaryota, Viridiplantae, Streptophyta, Magnoliopsida, Brassicales, Brassicaceae. The record is from RefSeq and is a predicted model, not a curated record.
AAUAUCUAUACUAUAUUAAAAGGGAUAUAUAAUCAACAGAGAGAGUGUCCACGUCAUUAAUAAAAUCAGCCAAUUACGAAGUUUUAAAUCGCCAGGUCAUAUUCGCAUAUGUCUCGCCUAAUCCCUAAUUUCGUCUGAAGCGCAGAGAGUUCGUCCGAUUCCAUGAGACGAAUCAUCAUCUAUCUCAUCUCGCUGCUGCUGAAUCCGUACGAGACGAUCCGUUCGAUCUGUUCUCUCGAGCCAGCGUACCAACCAUAUUUGAAGUUCGGAUCUCCACCGUUCUUCCUCGCCAUGGCCUCCGUGAAGAUGCGAAAGGCUAGAGACUUGGCUCUCGUGGUGAUCGCGUUCGGAGAUUUCUUACGUAUAGUGACGAUCGUGGUGGCGUUAGCGAUAGUGGCGCUUAAGCCGGAGAGGAAACACGUGGUGAUGAUGUCGUGCUCUUAGUUCCCUUCGCGGAGAAGAAUCGUUGAGUCGGUCGAGGAGGAGGAGGCAUCCUAACUAAUUGAGUUCUCUGUGGUUUAUUAUUUUUUAUGUGUGAAAAGGAUCUCACUUUGAGUAAUAGCUCCAGCAAAAGUUGCUAUUAGUCUUGAUUUUGGAGAGUUUCUCGCCGUCAAACAGGUUAAUUUGAAAACUCUGUCUCUGAUUUUGAAUAUUGUAAUUUUACUCUGCAAUUUGUUUUAAAAUUCCCCUUUCUCCCUGAAGUUUGAUUCUUAUGAUGAGUUUUUCGGUGAUCUGUGGGCUCUCCAAGCUCAUUCCUUCUACAUCCCAUCACCUUAAUUUGUUUAAUUACUCAUGUAUUCUAUAAUUUUUUUGGGUGUUUACUCUAACGUUAUUAUUGUUGUUUUUAUUGACUGGAUUUUAGUUGCUAAUAAACAUACAUGUUUCUUUGUUGAUAUUGUCCUCCGACUUCUCUUUCAUCAUAUUAUCUUAGUUAUUUCUCUACAAUGAUUUGAUUUAUUCAUGACUUUCCUACUUUUGUUCAUCAUAUUCAGAAGCUGGAAAAGAAAGUUAAGCUUCUCAAGAAUCACUCACAUCCAAAUAUAGUUGUAAGCAAUAAAAGCUUUUGUAUUUCUUUCAAUAUUUGAUAGACCCACCACGUUUUUGUUUCUUUUAUUCUUUUGUGGGCACUAAAGGUAUUUACGCACAGUGAGAGAAUGAAACUUUGAACAUUUUCCAUAUCAUACUAUAUUCCAGAGCGUCGAAAACCAUGGCGAAUCCUCAAGUUCUUUUGUAUGAGUUGAACGUUUAUUGGUGCAAGAAAAAUUGCAGUGGCCAAACGUCGGUGUCAGUGUUUUGGAUAGAUUCGCCAACCUCCUUUAUAUAUGGUUCCUUUAGUUGAUUGCAAGCUACUUGUAUGAUUAAUGAUUGUUAGUUAACUUUUUAGACACAGAAACCUCCUCUAUAAUGUAUGUGUUUUUAACAACUUAGCCACUACCGACCACCACUUCCAGACUUUGGAGGUCAUGUAAGUACUAUUAAUUAUUUUGCAGGGAAGGGAUAACCAGCCUGGUGAUGACAUGCUUGGAGCUGGAGCGGUUAAAACCAAUCCUACUGAUAGGUUUAACAGUGCAUCGCCUGAGAAAAUACCUGAUGGUGAUAAUGCUGGAAUGCUUUAAGAAAGUGCUGUCGACCCUGCUCUUCCAACUGUUCUGUCUCGAUAAAUCAACAGAUAAGAAAUUAAGAAUGAACCACUAAUGGAGGAGAAGGUUGAAGGGAAGAAGCCACACGUGACUUAACUUCACAGGCUUAGGAGAGCCAAAGGUCAGAAUGGACAACCUCUACUCUUUCGCAUUUCUGUUUUUAAAUGUUUCCACUUUGACUUUGUCUACUGUUUCCUGAAAUUAAACCAGCUGCUGGUUGUGUUUUAACUUUUAGUUGUAGUUGUUACAAGGGAAAGGUAUUCGUUAUAUGUUUAUAAAUAAAAGUUCCUUUAAAUC